CGGACGGGUGAGUAAUGCCUAGGAAUCUGCCUGGUAGUGGGGGACAACGUUUCGAAAGGAACGCUAAUACCGCAUACGUCCUACGGGAGAAAGCAGGGGACCUCCGGGCCUUGCGCUAUCAGAUGAGCCUAGGUCGGAUUAGCUAGUUGGUGAGGUAAUGGCUCACCAAGGCGACGAUCCGUAACUGGUCUGAGAGGAUGAUCAGUCACACUGGAACUGAGACACGGUCCAGACUCCUACGGGAGGCAGCAGCG
Molecule: ribosomal RNA, 254 nt
Filed under: uncultured Pseudomonas sp.
Lineage: Bacteria; Pseudomonadati; Pseudomonadota; Gammaproteobacteria; Pseudomonadales; Pseudomonadaceae
Description: partial 16S ribosomal RNA
Rfam family: Bacterial small subunit ribosomal RNA
Source: RNAcentral